GCGAUGGGGAGAAGGCAAGUUGUUAAACGUGUGAGCUUGGUGUCUGUCAAGAGGAUGUUGCGCUGGGAAAUGGGUCCAUGGAACCAUCCUGACAGGACCUGUGAUACCAGAACUCCCCAAAGACACCUUGAAAGUCUGGAUACAGCUGUUUUGUUGAACUAUGGCCACAGCAUCAAUGAGGUUUAUUUUUAAGAGUGAAAUGGAAAGUUGGAAGCACUGGGUCGAAACCUUUCCCAGGAACAGUGGUCACUUCCUGAAGACAUGGGAGGAGGAAUCAAAUUAAGUGCUUCUCUGAAAUUACUAAUCUUUCAGAGUUGCAUAGUCUUUUAACUACUGCAUAGAAAAUGGGUAUACACCAAUCAGUGACUUAUGAGCAUGAAUCUCUGUCGACAGUUAUCAGAACCACCCAAACCACAUAUAAAGCCUGAUUACUGCUGUGAGCAGAAGUCCACACUUUGACUUCUGUGGGUGAUAGGUAUGUACAUCAAAGAGCAUGAUCAAACCUAAGAAUGACAAACAGCAAUUAAUGCUGCAUCUUUAUUACAGUGGACCCGGUAUGAUCUUGAUUUUACAUCCGAACUAGGCUUCUGCUGUACAUGCAUUACUCUUCUGGAAAAAGAAGUCAACUCCUUCCUAUUUCUCGUCUUUCAAAGCCAGUGUUGCACAACCAAGCAUCCAGGCGUUGUAAUUCACGCUGUAGAACAUCCUACCCACUGAAAUGAAUGGGAACUCUAAUGAAACUGAGAUGUAAGGAUGGCAACAUCUACCUUAGAGUAAAAAUGGAAAUGCCAACUAUGCUGUUAAAAAAGGCCAUAAUAUACAUGAGAGAAGAACCAUGAGUCCUACCAUUAUGGUAUCUAUUAAACUUUACAGCAUUAAAA
Long non-coding RNA from Manacus vitellinus (golden-collared manakin), 881 nucleotides. RefSeq lists it as uncharacterized. Lineage: Eukaryota; Metazoa; Chordata; Aves; Passeriformes; Pipridae. The transcript is spliced from 2 exons. The record is from RefSeq and is a predicted model, not a curated record.